GUGUCAGUCUUGUGUUAAGGGUUAAGUCACCAAACAUAACUUACUAAUAUUUACCUCUUUAGUUUACUAACGCCUAACCUUUGAAGUUCCUACGGAUUUAAACACCUUACUUCCUAAACUUCGUUACGUUUGAACCUCGGUUUAUACCGAUUUUAUACCUAUCUGUAAAUAUUAUUAGGCAACUUUAGAUACAUGACUGGGUCCGGAUUAAGGAUUGUGGGAACCCGGGCUAAGGAGACAUAUUCUAUUAAAAUGGAAUGGCAAAAAA
This is a non-coding RNA of Cinara cedri, 268 nucleotides long. Lineage: Eukaryota; Metazoa; Arthropoda; Insecta; Hemiptera; Aphididae. The record is from the annotation of a GenBank genome assembly.